AUUCAAUUUCUCAUUUUAUUUGUUAUGUCAUUAGAAUUUUCUUUUAAACAUUUAAUCAAUUAACCAUUUAAACAUUUAAAAAUUUUCAGUUCAAACCUUUUUUUAAAUAUUUCAUGAACACACAAGGGUUAAUGUCGUUGACAGCUGAGGGUUAAGAAUUUGCCUAAGAACCGAACUGUCAAAUGUUUUCCAUCUCGUGGAAAUUGUUCGAUUCGUUGUGUGUAUAAGCAACGAAACGAAUAGCUGAUUUCAAAAUGAAUUUGCGCUUUUUACCCGAACCUGAACCCACAAAAGGUAUUCAGUUACGACGGGGCUGCUUGCCAACGAUGCCAACGAUAAUAUUUUCGCACAUCAGGAGCUGCGAGACGGUUCUCAGGUUGACACCGAUGUCAUGCUGAUGACCGCUUCCAACCGAUGAAGGAUCUAAUCAUUCCGGCAGCUAGUUAAGUUCCAGAAUCAUUUCCAAGCCGGAACGGAACCGGUCUCAUAAAACAUGGCAAAUCUUGCCAAAGACACCAUCCGACGGAACCUGCCGGAGUCGCUGCAUGCCAGCCGCAUGGUUAAAAAAUGUUGUAGUUUUCCACAUCAUUAAUGAAAUAAACUUUUUCCUUGCUUUUUAUUUGAAAAAAGUGUGUGUGUGCAUUCAGUAAAUAGAGUUAUCUAAGCCCGAGCUCACGCACACCAGCACCCCAUUUGUUUUGCUGGCGGGUACAAAAUUUAACCUCAAUCUUUUUCGUGUACGUACACGCAAUACAUGCGCACGUAGAUAACUCUAUUGCCUUCCGAGAUGACAGUUAUUUACAGGCUGGAGUCACGCGCGACGAAAGCGCUGCCCAAGCGGUGAGAUUUGGAACUAAAAUUCAUUUUUGCAUGUACACCAAUACUAUCAAAAAAUAUGGUGAAUGUGAGUGCACAAUACAUAGAGAGAAACGUCAAAACCGAGGCGAAUGAAUUUGACCGAUUUUGACAGAGAUCUCUGAUAAAGAUUUGACGGAGAAUUCUCUGAUAGAGACGCUCUAUCAGAGAAUUUCUGAUAAAUUUACCGAGAAUUUCGGCGAAUUUGACCGAAGUCUAGGUUGCGUGUAGAACAAAUCCUGUUAUUUUGACAGCUGUCUAAAAUUGAGGUACGUUUUUGGCCAAAAAUGACCUCUUGAAAAAUCAUUUUUCUAAAUUUUUUGUUGGAAUUGAUCAAAAAGUACCCAAAUGUUUGAAAAUCUCUACUUCAAAUAUUUUAGCAUGUCAAUACGAUUCCCUUGAACAAGAAACACUGUUGGAUGACUUGUUUUUAUCAUAUCUUUGUAUUUGAGCAUCAUUUUAGUUUCAUUUGACCCAAUGUCACCCCCUCUAAGGGGUGAGAUUGGGCCAAUUUUCAAACUAUUGGCAUUUAAGGUAGUGUUCAUCAAAAUCCACCAUAUUUUGGGAAAAUGUUAGUAAACUAUCUAAGAACAAAUCUACGUUGGAAGAUUUUCGAUGUUAUUUGAAUUGUUUUUGUUAUUAAGUAAUUACGAGAGGUGUAUCGUUUUUUGACCCAUAGUCACCCCCACUGACGGUACGUGUUAAGUUUUCGUGAAAAAACUGGAUUUCCUCCUGAUUUCUAGAACAAAGUACUGGAUGUUAUAGGAUUUUCUGAAAGAGCUUAACUCAACUCAAAAACUAUUAAAAUUCAUUUGGGACAUUUAUGCGAUCAUGGGCAGUAUAGGUCCUUUAAAAAAACUCUAGAUGUUUCCUAUUUCUUUGUCUUUAUGAUGCUGUAUCUCAGGAACCAGAGGUCGAAUUUUACACGCCUUUUAGACAAUUUUAUAGCAUAUUUUCUGAAAAAUGUCAGAACUGGGCUCUCAUGGUCACUAUUUUUAAAAAUCGAAAAACUACAAAUAUUUGAUUGAAAUCAAACGUUCAGAGGCUAUAUCUUGAAAACGAGGAACUUUUUAAAAAAUCUAAAGGAACUAUAGUACUAAAUUCGCAAUUCGCAAUUUUCAGUGUAAGAACGGGCCUUGACCGAUCUUAUGCACCAGGUUCCCGACGAACACGCACUGCCCUUACACCUACAUCUCACCCUUGCUCUGAGUCAGUACGAGCAGCACGCUAGAACACGCUUUGAGUGUUCGUGCCAGGCAUGCACACCUUCUUUUCCGGUUACGCAUUUUAACUCGGCCGGGGGUGGUACAUUACGUAGGGUUUGAUGUAAGUAUAAGCGCCUAACCAUUUAAAGUGUGCCUAUCAACUUUCUUUAAAGCAAAAACUGUUUUAUUUUUAGUUUGAAUUCAAAAAUUAGUUGUUGAGUCGUGUUUAUCUGUUGCUAUUUCUUUUGUCGCGGUGUUUUGUUACAAUGUUUUGGUCCUAAGCAUCUUAGAAAAGUUUUUCAAAAGUACAAUAGUAAUAUUUGUGUUAAUCCUUUAAUCAUUCCAUAAAUUGAGCAAGGGCUCGAACCUCACUUGCUUAAGAAAAAGGUGAAGUUUCAAAACAAUGGACAGUGAAGGAAACAUACUUUGUAAAGUAUCAAUAGUAAAAGGAAGAUAGUAAUUUAUGAAGUAGAUAUAGAAAUUAACAAUAGUUAAUAAAAAGAGGUAACAAACAAGCUUAGAUUAUUGUUAUGAUGGGCAAUUUACAGGGAAGAUGAAAAAUUAUUCAAAUAGAUACAUAAAGAAAAGGCACAUGAUAAACAAAAUUGACAUCGCUGCCAAAUUAAGGGAAAGCAGAUAGUUUGUUACAGCAGCAUCAAUUGGUAAAAUAGAGUGGAAAAGCGUUGAGAAAUAAGAGAAUCAAAUACGUAAAAUCGAAAUCAAAUGGAGGAUAGUAAACAGAAGCCGUUUUAGAAAAACAGUGAAACAAAAUAAACAGAAGAUAGCUGUUAGCUGAAAUGGAAAAAAGAGAAACCCCGUUCUGCGAUGCUCAGGUACAUCCACAGCAGUUGACUCAACAUACUGCGAAUCAAAACAAUACCGUCUACAAUCACAAAUUACUUCCCUUUCCCACAUUGACGCGCCCCUUUCUUCUAGCCGUCUCUACUCUGACCCUCGCUGGUCAAAGGUUUACGAGUCGUUUCCACAGGCCACCAGCUAGGUUACACCUUGUCAUCAUGAUGACUAAACCAAGCCAACGUGGAGGUAAGAAAAUAGGACACUUGCAAGGAACCAGAGCCAUGCUGUUUUGUCCAAACAGCACUACGGAUGUAGUUGGGCUCUUUCCGGGAUGUUCCUCGCCUAGGUGUGUCAACCGACGAGUAUCAUCAGUAUCAUGUGCACCCUUGGCCUGCAGGAACUAUAGUACUAAAUG
Culex pipiens pallens (northern house mosquito) is the source of this 3273-nucleotide long non-coding RNA. RefSeq lists it as uncharacterized. The record is from RefSeq and is a predicted model, not a curated record. The transcript is spliced from 3 exons. Lineage: Eukaryota; Metazoa; Arthropoda; Insecta; Diptera; Culicidae.